This 525-nucleotide ribosomal RNA is filed under the name Triticum aestivum (bread wheat). Its description in RNAcentral is "partial small subunit ribosomal RNA". The record is from RNAcentral. Lineage: Eukaryota; Viridiplantae; Streptophyta; Magnoliopsida; Poales; Poaceae.
AUGAAGAGAGAUUAUCAGAACUCCGGGGUAACGAUGGAAUCCUACACCGGUAACGACAAGGACAGAUACUACGGAAGGAUCGAGGAUAUCUGGGAGAUGAGCUAUGCUGGAGAGAAGGUCCCGAUGUUCCGUGUCAGAUGGGCCAAGAGCGUCCUAAAAGAAGACCAUUAUUUCACCACCAUGGUUAUACCCGAAGCCAAAUCCAAGACCGCGGGCGCAAAAGUCACCGCGAAAAAUGAGCCAAGGGUACUGGCUUCCCAAGUGGACCAAUGCUUCUUCAUUACCGACCCGUCAAAGCCCAGUCGUGUUGUCGUGAGGAGAGGCAAAAGGAAGAUCAUCGAAAUGGAUGGAGUCGCCAAUGAGCAAGACUUUGACAAGUACGGCGACCCGAAGAUGGAACAUGACGACGACGAUGAAGUACCAUACACCACAAGAAGAAGCAGGACCACCCUACCUAAAGGACGUCCGUUCAAGAGAAGAACUCCAUUUUCAAAAAAUAAGGGCAAUAAGAUUGUGAAAAGAUAG